CCCAGACUCCUACGGGAGGCAGCAGUGGGGAAUAUUGCACAAUGGGGGGAACCCUGAUGCAGCGACGCCGCGUGGGUGAAGGAGUAUUUCGGUAUGUAAAGCCCUAUCAGCAGGGAAGAACAAUGACGGUACCUGACUAAGAAGCACCGGCUAAAUACGUGCCAGCAGCCGCGGUAAUACGUAUGGUGCAAGCGUUAUCCGGAUUUACUGGGUGUAAAGGGAGCGCAGGCGGCGCGUUAAGCCUGGUGUGAAAGUCCGCGGCCCAACCGCGGGACUGCAUUGGGAACUGGCGCGCUGGAGUGCCGGAGGGGUAGGCGGAAUUCCUAGUGUAGCGGUGAAAUGCGUAGAUAUUAGGAGGAGCACCAGUGGCGAAGGCGGCUUACUGGACUGUAACUGACGUUGAGGCUCGAAAGCGUGGGGAGCAAACAGGAUUAGAUACCCGUGUAC
RNAcentral lists this ribosomal RNA (447 nucleotides) under uncultured bacterium. RNAcentral describes it as "bacterial SSU rRNA". It matches the Rfam family "Bacterial small subunit ribosomal RNA", at positions 330 to 793 of the family's 1533-position model. The record is from RNAcentral.